UGCUCAGGAUGAACGCUAGCGGCAGGCUUAACACAUGCAAGUCGAGGGGUAGCAGGGAGCUUGCUCCGCUGACGACCGGCGAACGGGUGCGUAACGCGUAUAGAAUCUACCUCUUACUAAGGGAUAGCCCAGAGAAAUUUGGAUUAAUAUCUUAUAGUAUGUUAACUUGGCAUCAAGAUAACAUUAAAGGUUACGGUAAGAGAUGACUAUGCGUCCUAUUAGCUAGAUGGUGUGGUAACGGCACACCAUGGCAACGAUAGGUAGGGGCCCUGAGAGGGGGAUCCCCCACACUGGUACUGAGACACGGACCAGACUCCUACGGGAGGCAGCAGUGAGGAAUAUUGGACAAUGGAGGCAACUCUGAUCCAGCCAUGCCGCGUGCAGGAAGACUGCCCUAUGGGUUGUAAACUGCUUUUAUACAGGAAGAAACACUCUCACGUGUGAGAGCUUGACGGUACUGUAAGAAUAAGGAUCGGCUAACUCCGUGCCAGCAGCCGCGGUAAUACGGAGGAUCCAAGCGUUAUCCGGAAUCAUUGGGUUUAAAGGGUCCGUAGGUGGAUAAUUAAGUCAGAGGUGAAAUCCUGCAGCUCAACUGUAGAAUUGCCUUUGAUACUGGUUGUCUUGAGUUAUUAUGAAGUAGUUAGAAUAUGUAGUGUAGCGGUGAAAUGCAUAGAUAUUACAUAGAAUACCAAUUGCGAAGGCAGAUUACUAAUAAUAUACUGACACUGAUGGACGAAAGCGUGGGGAGCGAACAGGAUUAGAUACCCUGGUAGUCCACGCCGUAAACGAUGGUCACUAGCUGUUCGAACUUCGGUUUGAGUGGCUAAGCGAAAGUGAUA
RNAcentral lists this ribosomal RNA (839 nucleotides) under uncultured Olleya sp. RNAcentral's name for it is "bacterial SSU rRNA". It matches the Rfam family "Bacterial small subunit ribosomal RNA", at positions 21 to 862 of the family's 1533-position model. Lineage: Bacteria; Pseudomonadati; Bacteroidota; Flavobacteriia; Flavobacteriales; Flavobacteriaceae. The record is from RNAcentral.